Molecule: long non-coding RNA, 898 nt
Filed under: Accipiter nisus (Eurasian sparrowhawk)
Lineage: Eukaryota; Metazoa; Chordata; Aves; Accipitriformes; Accipitridae
Description: lncRNA (ENSANIG00000001731.1)
Source: RNAcentral
CUGAGUUCCUCACUCAUGGCUGAGAUGUCACGUGGCACCAAGAGAGCCAAGAGAAGUGACGCAUCUUGGUAUCCCAUGGCACUUCCAGCACGGGGCUGGCGAGCAGAGGGGAGAGGAGCGCUGGCGAAGCCUGGAAUGACGCUGCCAGCGUGGGGAAAUUGAGAGGCAACUUUUAAUUUGAAGGAAGUUCAGCUUGCGAAGGAGGUGCCGCCGAGAUCCUCUGGUCCGGGAGUUGCUCUGCUGAAGCAGCAGAGGGAUUGUAAAACGUUUCAGCUUGCAGAGGCCUUGCUGCUGUCUCCCUCUUCUCUUGCCAUAAGCGUCGUGUCUGGCUGGCAGCUGGGAAGAGGAAAAGUUGGCUGCUGUUAUCUGCCACCUGAUUUCCAUGAAUUCCAGCAUUAUACAGUUUGUCUCCUACAGCUUGCUCUACUGAUGAAUCAUGGGUCUGCAUCAAUAAAUCCAGCUUUAUGCAGAGCUUUGAAACAGGGAGAACUGCAGUCUAUAAGUACUUUUCAAAAUAGGUAAGCAGAAGUGAUUUUAUACUCAGAAAUAGCUUUGGUAUGAAGACGACUUUCAGGUCCGUUGAACCUCCGAAUAAUCAGGGGAGGAGGUAGUUGCAAGCUGAUGCGUGGCUUUGGGUUUUCCCUGUGCUUGGGGCAGACCUAUUUUUGGAGUUUCAUCAGGGAUCUAUUGAGCUUUAUAGUCCUGUAUGGUAGGAAAGAGUAGUGUGGAGUCCCUUAAAAGACCUGAGCACCACUGUCUCGGAGCUUCGCAUGUCCUCUCCUGUCCUGAAGAAGUCACUUAUACAGCUAAGCACAGUCUUCAUCCUGAACUUGUUCAUCUGGCUGCAAGUUAAAGGCCACCUCAAGUCCACUUUGUAAAUACGAGUAGUAGAAAGGUA